RNAcentral lists this RNase P RNA (389 nucleotides) under Nitrospirota bacterium. Its description in RNAcentral is "Nitrospirae bacterium (hydrothermal vent metagenome) RNase P RNA component class A". It matches the Rfam family "Bacterial RNase P class A". From Rfam's summary of the family: Ribonuclease P (RNase P) is a ubiquitous endoribonuclease, found in archaea, bacteria and eukarya as well as chloroplasts and mitochondria. Its best characterised activity is the generation of mature 5'-ends of tRNAs by cleaving the 5'-leader elements of precursor-tRNAs. The record is from RNAcentral. Lineage: Bacteria; Pseudomonadati; Nitrospirota.
AUGGGCAGGUAGAUGGUCGCUCCUUUAACCACUGUGGUUAGGGGAGAGGAAAGUCCGGGCUCCGUAGGGCAGGACAGUGGCUAACAGCCACCGCCGAGCACUCAAUAAGUCGAGUGCACGGUAGGGAAAGUGCCACAGAAAAGAUACCGCCGAGCCCCCAACGCAUUGGGUGCUCGGUAAGGGUGAAAAGGUGGGGUAAGAGCCCACCGCUGUGGAGGUGACUUCACAGGCAUGGCAAACCCUGUCCGGAGCAAGGCCAAGUAGGUUCCGCCCCGAGGGUGGCCCGCCCGAAUGUGCGGAACGGGUAGGCCGCAUGAGUCAGGGAGCAAUCCCUGACCUUAGAUAAAUGACCAUCCUCGACAGAACCCGGCUUAUUCCUGCCCAUUAAA